RNAcentral lists this ribosomal RNA (253 nucleotides) under uncultured bacterium. RNAcentral describes it as "partial 16S ribosomal RNA". It matches the Rfam family "Bacterial small subunit ribosomal RNA", at positions 524 to 776 of the family's 1533-position model. The record is from RNAcentral.
UACGUAGGGUGCAAGCGUUGUCCGGACUUAGUUGGCGUAAAGCGCUCGUAGGCGGUUUGUCGCGUCUGCUGUGAAAGUUCGGGGCUCAACCCCGGAACUGCAGUGGGUACGGGCAGACUAGAGUGCGGUAGAGGAGACUGGAAUUCCUGGUGUAGCGGUGGAAUGCGCAGAUAUCAGGAGGAACACCAGUGGCGAAGGCGGGUCUCUGGGCCGCAACUGACGCUGAGGAGCGAAAGCGUGGGGAGCGAACAGG